GGUUUUAUAGUCAAUAUUAUAUGAUAUUAGAGUGCAAUUCUAAAGUAAAGGUCACCCUUUAAAGCUU
This 67-nucleotide transfer RNA is filed under the name Coptosoma bifarium. RNAcentral's name for it is "tRNA-Cys". Lineage: Eukaryota; Metazoa; Arthropoda; Insecta; Hemiptera; Plataspidae. The record is from RNAcentral.